This 433-nucleotide ribosomal RNA is filed under the name uncultured bacterium. RNAcentral describes it as "partial 16S ribosomal RNA". It matches the Rfam family "Bacterial small subunit ribosomal RNA", at positions 29 to 507 of the family's 1533-position model. The record is from RNAcentral.
AACGAACGCUGGCGGCAUGCCUAACACAUGCAAGUCGAACGAGACCUUCGGGUCUAGUGGCGCACGGGUGCGUAACGCGUGGGAACCUGCCUUUAGGUUCGGAAUAACUCAGAGAAAUUUGAGCUAAUACCGGAUGAUGUCUUCGGACCAAAGAUUUAUCGCCUUUAGAUGGGCCCGCGUUGGAUUAGCUAGUUGGUGGGGUAAAGGCCUACCAAGGCGACGAUCCAUAGCUGGUCUGAGAGGAUGAUCAGCCACACUGGGACUGAGACACGGCCCAGACUCCUACGGGAGGCAGCAGUGGGGAAUAUUGGACAAUGGGCGAAAGCCUCAUCCAGCAAUGCCGCGUGAGUGAUGAAGGCCUUAGGGUUGUAAAGCUCUUUUACCCGAGAUGAUAAUGACAGUAUCGGGAGAAUAAGCUCCGGCUAACUCCGUG